Felis catus (domestic cat) is the source of this 724-nucleotide long non-coding RNA. RefSeq lists it as uncharacterized. NCBI's taxonomy places the organism in Eukaryota, Metazoa, Chordata, Mammalia, Carnivora, Felidae. The record is from RefSeq and is a predicted model, not a curated record. The transcript has 2 exons.
CCUGCCAGCCUCAGACUUUCAGAGAGAAACCGUGUAGAAUCGAGAGACAAAGCAAGGUCCACUUGGAGAGGCAGUGUCCUCCCGCAUGAGCCUCUCGAGAACAAUCUUGCAGAUGCACAACUUCCAUCCUGCUUAGUAAAUGUUCAGCAGGGAACUCAAGUUUCCUCCUCUCCAGGCCCUUCCCCGCUCCCGGGAUCCCUGCCCUGGGAGCGGUAGGUGAGAAGAACUGAUGGAACCUUCCAGAACUUUCUCCUCCCAGUCUCCAGUCCCCGAAGAGGAGCUCCAAAGGUGUGACGUGCUUUUCCUGGCAUGCUCUCUGAGAAAGUCAGAGUGGAGCUCAACCCGCUUGUGAACGUCUCCCGUUGGCUCAGAGAAGACCCCAAGCUAGCGCUUGGAGAGGUUGCUUUUCCCACAGCCGUGUCACUUCAGAGACCCGCUGGGGGACACGCCAGGUUUUAAUCGCGACGCGGCCGGUAGUUAGCCCGAGAACGUUGCAUAAGGAACGGCCUUCUCAGAAAUGUGUUCGUACCUCAGUGUGAGGGGGGCUGUUUAGAAGAGGAGGAAGAGGAAGUGAGGAAGUAUACUUGGGUUCUCCAGGGGGUUGAGAGGUGGUCGCUGGGCAGUCACAUCUGUCGACUAUUAAAUGAUAGAUCGGGUACUUCUGGUUUGAGCAAUAUGGGUUUCUGUGUAAUUAAAAAUUUCUUUUGCAAAUUUCUAGAACCUA